CAAAAACAUGUCUUUUUGAGUUAUUUUUAAAGUCUAACCUGCCCAAUGAAUAAUUUUUAAUGGCCGCAGUAAUUUGACUGUGCAAAGGUAGCAUAAUAAUUAGUCUUUUAAUUGAAGGCUUGUAUGAAUGGUUGGACGAAGUAUAAUCUGUUUCAUUUAAAUUUAAUAUAGAAUUUAAUAUUUUAGUAAAAAAGCUAAAAUUUUUUUAAAAGACGAGAAGACCCUAUAAAUCUUUAUAAUCUGAAAUUUAAUUUUUUUUUUGAUUUAAUUUAAUUUUAAUAAUUCAGAUUAUUUUAUUGGGGUGAUAUUAAAAUUUAAAUAACUUUUAAUUUAAUUUUUUCAUUAAUUUAUGAUUUAUUGAUCCAUUAAUAAUGAUUAUAAGAAUAAGUUACUUUAGGGAUAACAGCGUAAUUUUUUUGGAGAGUUCUUAUUGAUAAAAAAGUUUGCGACCUCGAUGUUGGAUUAAGAUAUAAUUUUAGGUGUAGUUGCUUAAAUAAUAAGUCUGUUCGACUUUUAAAUUCUUACAUGAUCUGAGUUCAAACCGGA
RNAcentral lists this ribosomal RNA (546 nucleotides) under Tephritis bardanae. RNAcentral's name for it is "partial large subunit ribosomal RNA". It matches the Rfam family "Bacterial large subunit ribosomal RNA", at positions 1808 to 2620 of the family's 2925-position model. The record is from RNAcentral. Lineage: Eukaryota; Metazoa; Arthropoda; Insecta; Diptera; Tephritidae.